RNAcentral lists this ribosomal RNA (563 nucleotides) under Purpureocillium lilacinum. Its description in RNAcentral is "eukaryotic LSU rRNA". It matches the Rfam family "Eukaryotic large subunit ribosomal RNA", at positions 56 to 643 of the family's 3401-position model. Lineage: Eukaryota; Fungi; Ascomycota; Sordariomycetes; Hypocreales; Ophiocordycipitaceae. The record is from RNAcentral.
GAAAAGAAACCAACAGGGAUUGCCCCAGUAACGGCGAGUGAAGCGGCAACAGCUCAAAUUUGAAAUCUGGCCCCCAGGGCCCGAGUUGUAAUUUGCAGAGGAUGCUUUUGGCGCGGUGCCUUCCGAGUUCCCUGGAACGGGACGCCAUAGAGGGUGAGAGCCCCGUCUGGUCGGACGCCUAGCCUGUGUAAAGCUCCUUCGACGAGUCGAGUAGUUUGGGAAUGCUGCUCUAAAUGGGAGGUAUAUGUCUUCUAAAGCUAAAUACCGGCCAGAGACCGAUAGCGCACAAGUAGAGUGAUCGAAAGAUGAAAAGCACUUUGAAAAGAGGGUUAAAUAGUACGUGAAAUUGUUGAAAGGGAAGCGCUUGUGACCAGACUUGGGCCCGGUGGAUCAUCCAGCGUUCUCGCUGGUGCACUCCGCCGGGUUCAGGCCAGCAUCAGUUCGCCGCGGGGGAAAAAGGCUUCGGGAACGUGGCUCCUACGGGAGUGUUAUAGCCCGUUGCAUAAUACCCUGGGGCGGACUGAGGUUCGCGCUCCGCAAGGAUGCUGGCGUAAUGGUCAUCA